CCUGUCCUUGAUUGGGGAUAACCCUCCUAACGGAGGGCUAAUACCGAAUGACAUGAUUUGAUCGCAUGGUCGAAUCAUCAAAGCUGGCCUCUAUACUAUGCUAGCACUUAAGGAUGGUCCCGCGUCCCAUUAGCUUGUUGGUAGGGUAAAGGCUUACCAAGGCGACGAUGGGUAGCUGGUCUGAGAGGAUGGUCAGCCACACUGGGACUGAGAUACGGCCCAG
RNAcentral lists this ribosomal RNA (223 nucleotides) under uncultured bacterium. RNAcentral describes it as "partial 16S ribosomal RNA". It matches the Rfam family "Bacterial small subunit ribosomal RNA", at positions 125 to 334 of the family's 1533-position model. The record is from RNAcentral.